GACGUAGGGCGCGAGCGUUGUCCGGAUUUAUUGGGCGUAAAGAGCGUGUAGGCGGCCAGGUAGGUCUGCUGUGAAAACUCGAGGCUCAACCUCGAGACGUCGGCGGAAACCAUCUGGCUAGAGUCCGGAAGAGGAGAGUGGAAUUCCCGGUGUAGUGGUGAAAUGCGUAGAUAUCGGGAGGAACACCAGUGGCGAAGGCGACUACCUGGCCUGUUCUUGACGCUGAGGCGCGAAAGCUGGGGGAGCAAACGGG
RNAcentral lists this ribosomal RNA (253 nucleotides) under uncultured bacterium. Its description in RNAcentral is "partial 16S ribosomal RNA". It matches the Rfam family "Bacterial small subunit ribosomal RNA", at positions 524 to 776 of the family's 1533-position model. The record is from RNAcentral.